AGGAAAGAACUGUUAAAACAAAAGCAAAAACACCAAAUCAAAAGCAAUUUUUCAAACUCAAAAAAAGAAAAUGCAGAGGCUAUUGUCUCUCAAACGUGCUUCCUCAAACCUUCCAAAGAAACUCUCAAACACCUCCACUUCCUCUUCACUCCUUCACUCUCACCACUCUUACGAUUCCAAACCCUUCUCUUCUCUCACCAAACCCCAAAACCAGUCUCUCAGCUCUUUUCUCUCUCACCCACUUCACCACCAGGUCCACUCUCAUUCAUCAUGGCACAGUUUUUCUGCGAAAACAAUUCAUGGGUUUUUCUCAAAUCCUUUGAUUGCAAAGCAGUUCUUGUUGAGUUCCCCAAAUACCCUCUUGAGGGUCUCAACAAGCAAGAGUCUUGUAGAUUGCAGAGUCUCAUUUCUCAGAGCUCAAUUUCAAAGGCAGAGCUUUAGGUUCAAUCCAAGUUUUGAUUCCCAUAGGCGUGGCUGGAGAUCAUGGUUCCAAGGACUAACGGCUGAUGGGAUGGUUUAUGGCUUGAUUAUAGCCAAUGUUGCUGUUUAUAUGUUAUGGCAGGUUGCAGAUGGUAACUUUAUGAGGGAUAACUUUAUGAUAUCAUUGGACAAUUUUAAAAGUGGUCGAUUGCACACAUUGAUAACUUCUGCAUUCAGUCAUAGAGAUCUUGAGCAUAUUGGUUCUAACAUGAUCGGACUAUACUUCUUUGGGAUGAGUAUUGGAAGAACUUUCGGACCUGAAUUUUUGCUUAAGUUGUAUAUAGCUGGGGCACUUGGUGGUUCAAUUUUUUACUUGAUGCACAAAGCGUUUUUGGCCUCAUCAUCCAAGGGCCAGCAACUGUGGUACAGGGACCCAUCAAAGACACCAGGAUUGGGGGCAAGUGGGGCUGUGAAUGCUAUCAUGCUGCUUAAUAUAUUCCUCUUUCCAAAAGCUACCCUGUACUUUGACUUCAUCAUACCAGUCCCUGCCUUCUUACUGGGGAUCUUUCUAAUUGGAAAAGAUGUGUUGAGAAUAUUAGAGGGAGAUAGUCAUAUCUCAGGAUCCGCACAUUUGGGGGGUGCUGCAGUUGCUGCCAUAGCCUGGGCACGAAUUCGAAAAGGAAGGUUCUAAAUCUUUCAGUGAUUCUACUAGACUACAAACUUCUGAUUCCGGUUACUCAAGGGCAAAAUAUGGGAUUUCAUCAAUAAGUCAAGGGCUAAUUAUGUUUGCUAUCACUUAAACAAUGGUCAAACUUGAGGAUCACAUGACAAGUUUUUCAUCCUUGGUUCACUUGUGAUUUGCUGCACCAAAAAGAGAUCACAUUCUGGUUUGGAUAUGUUUACUGGUAUCUAGUGUGCUUAAAUCAUCUUGAUAUCAAGGUUGUUGCUACCUGAACAAAUGAUUCAUUCAGUUUAAACUAAUGGACCUAAAACAAGAGGGUCUUUGGGAAAUCCAUAUGAGUCAGACCAGUUAUAAUCAAGGCACGCAUUGUAUGACAGUGCAGCUUCAUAGUUUGAAUUCCUGA
Quercus robur (English oak) is the source of this 1505-nucleotide RNA transcript. It is a transcript of the gene named RHOMBOID-like protein 12, mitochondrial, with no coding region annotated. Lineage: Eukaryota; Viridiplantae; Streptophyta; Magnoliopsida; Fagales; Fagaceae. The record is from RefSeq and is a predicted model, not a curated record. The transcript is spliced from 10 exons.